This 345-nucleotide ribosomal RNA is filed under the name Vertigo parcedentata. RNAcentral describes it as "partial 16S ribosomal RNA". The stretch from base 1 to 186 matches the Rfam family "Archaeal large subunit ribosomal RNA", at positions 1908 to 2143 of the family's 2987-position model. The record is from RNAcentral. Lineage: Eukaryota; Metazoa; Mollusca; Gastropoda; Stylommatophora; Vertiginidae.
UAGCUUUAAGAAAUUAUUUAAAGUGUUACCUGCCCGGUGGGAUACUUAACGGCCGCAGUACUUUGACUGUGCUAAGGUAGCAUAAUAAAUUGGCUUUUAAUUAAAGUCGGGUAUGAAAGGGACUUUGGAAGAUAACUGUCUCAAUUAUAUAUUAUUUUAAUUUAAUAAAUGAGUGAAAAUUCUCAUAUUUACUACAUUAGACGAGAAGACCCUAAGAGUUAUAAUUAAAAUGAAGUUUAUUUCAUAUAUCAUUUUUGUUGGGGCAACAAAGACUGGAUAGAACCGUCAUAAAUUAAUUUUUACAUAACCAAUAUAUUUAAAAAGAAAUAAACUACCUUAGGGAUA